CCCUUAGAUGUUCUGGGCUGCACGCGCGCUACACUGAUGCAUCCAACAAGUUUUCUCCCUUGUUCGGUAGGACUGGGUAAUCUUUUGAGUAUGCAUCGUGAAGGGGAUAGAUUAUUGCAAUUAUUAAUCUUCAACGAGGAAUUCCUAGUAAGCGCGGGUCAUCAGCUCGUGCCGAUUACGUCCCUGCCCUUUGUACACACCGCCCGUCGCUCCUACCGAUUGAGUGAUCCAGUGAAUAAUUCGGACUGCAGCAAUGUUUGGAUCCCGAACGUUGCAGCGGAAAGUUUAGUGAACCUUAUCACUUAGAGGAAGGAGAAGUCGUAACA
Molecule: ribosomal RNA, 326 nt
Filed under: uncultured eukaryote
Lineage: Eukaryota
Description: partial 18S ribosomal RNA
Rfam family: Eukaryotic small subunit ribosomal RNA
Source: RNAcentral